CUACGGGGGGCAGCAGUGGGGAAUAUUGCACAAUGGGCGCAAGCCUGAUGCAGCAACGCCGCGUGAGGGAUGAAGGCCUUCGGGUUGUAAACCUCUUUUAGCAGGGAAGAAGCGAAAGUGACGGUACCUGCAGAAAAAGCACCGGCUAACUACGUGCCAGCAGCCGCGGUAAUACGUAGGGUGCAAGCGUUGUCCGGAAUUAUUGGGCGUAAAGAGCUCGUAGGCGGUUUGUCACGUCUGCUGGGAAAAUCCAAGGCUCAACCUUGGACUUGCAGUGGGUACGGGCAGGCUAGAGUGCGGUAGGGGAGAUGGGAAUUCCUGGUGUAGCGGUGGAAUGCGCAGAUAUCAGGAGGAACACCAAUGGCGAAGGCACAUCUCUGGGCCGUAACUGACGCUGAGGAGCGAAAGCGUGGGGAGCGAACAGGAUUAGAUACCCCGGUAGUC
This 444-nucleotide ribosomal RNA is filed under the name uncultured bacterium. RNAcentral describes it as "partial 16S ribosomal RNA". It matches the Rfam family "Bacterial small subunit ribosomal RNA", at positions 339 to 795 of the family's 1533-position model. The record is from RNAcentral.